CCUACGGGAGGCAGCAGUGAGGAAUAUUGCUCAAUGGGCGCGAGCCUGAACCAGCCAAGUAGCGUGAAGGAUGACUGUCCUACGGGUUUUAACCUUUGUUUAUAAUGAAAUAAAGUGACGCUCGUGUGCCUUUUUGUAUUUACUUUAUGAAUAAGGAACGGCUAACUUCGUGCCAUCAGCCCCGGUAAUGCGGUGGAUCCGAGCGUUAUCCGGAUUUGUUGGGUUUAAAGGGAGCGUCGAUGGGUUGUUAAGUCAGUUGUGAAAUUUUGGGGCUCAACCGUAAAAUUGCAAUUGAUACUGGCAGCCUUGAGUACAGUAGAGGUAGGCGGAAUUCGAGGUGUAGCAGUGAAAUGCGUAGAUAUCAGGAAGAACACCGGUGGCGAAGGCAGCCAACUAGACUGCAACUGACACUGAGGAGCGAAAGUGUGGGUAGCAAACAGGAUUAGAUACCCGAGUAGUC
This 460-nucleotide ribosomal RNA is filed under the name uncultured bacterium. RNAcentral describes it as "partial 16S ribosomal RNA". It matches the Rfam family "Bacterial small subunit ribosomal RNA", at positions 338 to 795 of the family's 1533-position model. The record is from RNAcentral.